This 400-nucleotide transfer-messenger RNA is filed under the name bovine gut metagenome. It matches the Rfam family "transfer-messenger RNA". From Rfam's summary of the family: Bacterial tmRNA, also known as 10Sa RNA or SsrA, is named for its dual tRNA and mRNA-like properties. Its role is to liberate the mRNA from a stalled ribosome. The record is from RNAcentral.
GGGGAUGAUUUGGCUUUGACAGCGUGUAGAGGUGGUAGGCAAGCAUGCAGAGCGAUAAUGGCUAUGCUCUCAAAACUCAGUCAUUGCUAAAUUUAACUGGCGAAAACAACUACGCUCUCGCUGCCUGAUCGAAGUACAGUAGAUCGGCUUUAUUCUUGCCCAAGGCGGCAGGAACGAGACAUCACCCGGUAGCCCUUUCUGCGAGGCUCAUCGAUCAGGUGGUGCUGGCAAAUCGGAGAUAGCGCGUGGCACGCCCCGGGUAUCGCGCGAAAUUUAGGGGAUAAGUCGUCGAUUGGUGGUCUUGAUCCUGUCGACGGUCGAAAACCAAGUCAAGACUAAGCAUGUAGAAAACCUGUCAGUUCCACGUUUGGACGAGGGUUCAAACCCCUCCAUCUCCACA